GAUGAACGCUGGCGGCGUGCCUAAUACAUGCAAGUCGAGCGAACAGACGAGGAGCUUGCUCCUCUGACGUUAGCGGCGGACGGGUGAGUAACACGUGGAUAACCUACCUAUAAGACUGGGAUAACUUCGGGAAACCGGAGCUAAUACCGGAUAAUAUAUUGAACCGCAUGGUUCAAUAGUGAAAGACGGUUUUGCUGUCACUUAUAGAUGGAUCCGCGCCGCAUUAGCUAGUUGGUAAGGUAACGGCUUACCAAGGCAACGAUGCGUAGCCGACCUGAGAGGGUGAUCGGCCACACUGGAACUGAGACACGGUCCAGACUCCUACGGGAGGCAGCAGUAGGGAAUCUGGCGCAAUGGGCGAAAGCUUGACGGAGCAACGCCGCGUGAGUGAUGAAGGUCUUCGGAUCGUAAAACUCUGUUAUUAGGGAAGAACAAAUGUGUAAGUAACUAUGCACGUCUUGACGGUACCUAAUCAGAAAGCCACGGCUAACUACGUG
Molecule: ribosomal RNA, 497 nt
Filed under: uncultured bacterium
Lineage: Bacteria
Description: partial 16S ribosomal RNA
Rfam family: Bacterial small subunit ribosomal RNA
Source: RNAcentral